This 461-nucleotide ribosomal RNA is filed under the name uncultured bacterium. RNAcentral describes it as "bacterial SSU rRNA". It matches the Rfam family "Bacterial small subunit ribosomal RNA", at positions 29 to 525 of the family's 1533-position model. The record is from RNAcentral.
AACGAACGCUGGCGGCAGGCUUAACACAUGCAAGUCGAACGCUCGUAGCAAUACGGGAGUGGCGGACGGGUGAGUAACGCGUGGGAACGUGCCCUGAGGUACGGAAUAACUGAGGGAAACUUCAGCUAAUACCGUAUGAGCCCCGAGAGGGGGAAAGAUUUAUCGCCUUGGGAGCGGCCCGCGUCGGAUUAGCUAGUUGGUGGGGUAACGGCCUACCAAGGCUUCGAUCCGUAGCUGGUCUGAGAGGACGAUCAGCCACACUGGGACUGAGACACGGCCCAGACUCCUACGGGAGGCAGCAGUGGGGGAAUCUUGCGCAAUGGGGGCAACCCUGACGCAGCCAUGCCGCGUGAACGAUGAAGGCCUUAGGGUUGUAAAGUUCUUUUACUCGUGACGAUGAUGACGGUAACGGGGGAAGUAAAGACUCCGGCUAAACUUCGUGCCAGCAGCCGCGGGUUAAA